Molecule: ribosomal RNA, 505 nt
Filed under: uncultured bacterium
Lineage: Bacteria
Description: partial 16S ribosomal RNA
Rfam family: Bacterial small subunit ribosomal RNA
Source: RNAcentral
GACGAACGCUGGCGGCGUGCCUAAUACAUGCAAGUAGAACGCACAGUUUAUACCGUAGCUUGCUACACCAUAAACUGUGAGUUGCGAACGGGUGAGUAACGCGUAGGUAACCUGCCUGGUAGCGGGGGAUAACUAUUGGAAACGAUAGCUAAUACCGCAUAAUAUUGAUUAUUGCAUGAUAAUUGAUUGAAAGAUGCUAUUGCAUCACUACCAGAUGGACCUGCGUUGUAUUAGCUAGUAGGUGAGGUAACGGCUCACCUAGGCGACGAUACAUAGCCGACCUGAGAGGGUGAUCGGCCAAACUGGGACUGAGACACGGCCCAGACUCCUACGGGAGGCAGCAGUAGGGAAUCUUCGGCAAUGGACGAAAGUCUGACCGAGCAACGCCGCGUGAGUGAAGAAGGUUUUCGGAUCGUAAAGCUCUGUUGUAAGAGAAGAACGGGUGUGGGAGUGGAAAGUUCACACUGUGACGGUAUCUUACCAGAAAGGGACGGCUAACUACGUG